RNAcentral lists this ribosomal RNA (253 nucleotides) under uncultured bacterium. RNAcentral describes it as "partial 16S ribosomal RNA". It matches the Rfam family "Bacterial small subunit ribosomal RNA", at positions 524 to 776 of the family's 1533-position model. The record is from RNAcentral.
UACGGAGGGAGCAAGCGUUACUCGGAAUUACUGGGCGUAAAGGGCGCGUAGGCGAUUAAGUAAGUCUUGUGUGAAAGCCCAUGGCUUAACCAUGGAAGUGCACGAGAAACUGUUUGAUUUGAGUUCCGGAGAGGAAGGCAGAAUUCCCGGUGUAGCGGUGAAAUGCGUAGAUAUCGGGAGGAAUACCAGUGGCGAAGGCGGCCUUCUGGACGGAUACUGACGCUGAGGCGCGAAAGCCAGGGGAGCAAACGGG